RNAcentral lists this long non-coding RNA (6746 nucleotides) under Sus scrofa (pig). Its description in RNAcentral is "lncRNA (ENSSSCG00060075129.1)". The record is from RNAcentral. Lineage: Eukaryota; Metazoa; Chordata; Mammalia; Artiodactyla; Suidae.
GUUCGCUUCCAGGAGUUUGAUGGUGUCUUGUCUUAUACUUAAGUCUUUCAGCCAUUUUGAGUUUAUUUUUGUGCAUGGUGUGAGGGUGUGUUCUAGUUUCAUUGCUUUGCAUGCAGCUGUCCAGUUUUUCCAGCAAUGCUUGCUGAAUAGACUGUCUUUUUCCCAUUUUAUGUUCUUGCCUCCCUUGUCAAAGAUUAAUUGACCAUAGGUGUCAGGGUUUAUUUCCGGGUUCUCUAUUCUGUUCCAUUGGUCUGUCUGUCUGUUUUGGUACCAGUACCACACUGUUUUGAUGACUGUGGCUUUGUAGUAUUUCUUGAAGUCUGGGAGAGUUAUGCCUCCUGCUUGGUUUUUGUUUCUCAGGAUUGCUUUGGCGAUUCUGGGUCUUUUGUGGUUCCAUAUAAAUGUUUGGAUUGUUUGUUCUAGUUCUGUGAAAAAUGUCAUGGGUAAUUUGAUAGGGAUUGCAUUGAAUCUGUAGAUUGCUUUGGGUAGUAUGGCCAUUUUUACAAUAUUGAUUUUCCCAAUCCAGGAACAUGGAAUAUCUUUCCACUUCUUUACAUUUUCUUUAAUUUUCUUGAUUAAUGUUUUAUAGUGCUCAGCAUAUAAGUCCUUUACCUCCUCAGUCAGGUGUAUUCCCAGGUAUUUGAUUUUUUGGGGUACAAUUUUAAAAGGUAUCAUAUUUUUGUAUUCCUUUUGUAAUAUUUCAUUUUUUGUACACAAAAAUGUGACUGAUUUCUAAAUGUUACUUUGCUGAAUUUGUUGAUCAGUUCAAGUAGUUUUUGGGUUGAGUGCUUAGGGUUUUUUAUGUACAGUAUCAUGUCAUCUGCAUACAGUGACAGUUUUAUCUCUUCUCUUCCUAUAUGGAUGCCUUUAAUUUCUUUUGUUUGUCUAAUUGCUGUGGCUAGGACUUCCAAAACUAUGUUGAAUAACAGUGGUGAGGUGGACAUCCUUGUCUUGUUCCAUAUUUUAGUGGAAAGGCUUUCAGUUUUUCUCCAUUGAGUAUUAUCUUUGCUGUGGGUUUGUCAUAAAUGGAUUUAUGUUAAGGAAUAUUCCCUCUAUACCCACCUUGGUAAGAGUUUUUAUCAUAAAUGGAUGUUGGACUUUGUCAAGUGCUUUUUCUGCAUCUCUUGAGAUGAUCAUGUGGUUGCUGACUUUUUUGUUGUUGUUGUUAAUGUGGUGUAUGACGUUGAUUGAUUUGUGUAAGUUGAACCAUCCUUGUGAACCUGGGAUGAAUCCUACCUGGUCGUGGUGUAUGAUCUUUUUUAUAUGUUGUUGUAUUCGGUUGGCUAAAAUUUUGUUGAGAACUUUUGCAUCUAUAUUCAUCAAAGAUAUUGGCCGAUAGUUUUCUUUUUUGGUGGUAUCUUUGUCUGGUUUUGGAAUUAGGGUGAUGGUGGUGUCAUAGAAUGUCUUUGGGAGUGUUUCUUCUUCUUCAACCUUUUGAAAAAAUUUAAGUUGGAUGGGUGUAAGUUCCUCUUUGUAUGUUUGGUAGAAUUCACCUGUGAAGCCAUGUGGUCCUGGACUUUUAUUUGUAGGGAGCGUUUUUAUGACGUAUUCAAUUUAAUUUCUAGUGACCGGUCUGUUCAGUUGAUCUAUUUCUUCUUGAUUCAGUUUUGGCAGGCUGUAAGUUUCUAGAAAGUUGUCCAUUCCUUCUAGGUUGUCAAAUUUGUUGGCAUAUAAUUGUUCAUAGUAUUGUCUAUGUUUUUUUCUAUUUCUGUAGUAUCUGUUGUGACUUCUCCUUUUUCAUUUCUGAUUUUGUUUAUUUGGGUUUUUUCUCUCCUCUUCUUGGUGAGUCUAGCCAGAGGUUUGUCAAUUUUGUUUACCUUUUCAAAGAACCAGCUCUUGGUUUGAUUGAUUUCUUCAUUUGUUUUUUUAAUCUCUAUUUUAUCAAUUUCCUCUUUGAUCUUUAUGAUUUCCUUCCUUCUGCUGACUUUAGGUUUUGUUUGUUCUUCUUUUUCUAAUUCAUUUAGGUAUUGAGUUAAAUUGUCGAUUUGAGAUUUUUCUUCUUUUUCAAAGAAGGCCUGUAUUGCUAUGAAUUUUCCUCCGAGUACUGCUUUUGCGCCAUCCUAUAGAUUUUAAGUAGAUGUGUCUUCAUUAUCAUUUUUCUCAAGGUAUUUUUUAAUUUCCCUCUUGAUUUCCUCAUUGACCUAUUGGUUUUUUAGUAGCAUGUUGUUUAGUCUCCAUGUAGUAAGUUUUUCUUCACUUUUUUUCCUGUGAUUGAUUUCUAGGUUUAUGCCACUGUGGUCAGAGGAGAUACUUGAAAUAAUUUCUAUACUUUUAAAUUUGUUGAGGUUAGCUUUGUGCCCCAGUAUGUGAUCAAUUCUUGAGAAUGUUCCAUGUGCACUUGAGAAGAAUAUAUAUUCUGAUUUUUUUGGAUGUAUGUCCUGAAAAUGUCAAUUAAGUCUAACUUUUCUAUUGUGUCCUUUAGGAUCUCUGUUCCCUUAUUGAUUUUCUGUCUAGAGGAUAUGUCCAUUGUUAUGAGUGGGGUGUUCAAGUCUCCUACUAUGAUUGUAUUCCUAUCGAUUUCUCCUUUUAUGUCUGUUAGUAUUUGUUGUAGGUAUCUUGGUGCUCCUAUAUUAGGGGCAUAUGUAUUGAUGAUUGUAAUAUCUUCUUCUUGAAUGGAUUCUUUUACCAUUAAAUAGUGUCUUUCUUUGUCUUUCUUUAUGGCCUUCAUUUUAAAGUCUAUUUUAUCUGAUGUGAGUAUUGCAACUACUGCUUUCCUGUCUUGUCCAUUGGCAUGAAAUAUCUUUUCCCAUCCCCUCACUUUCAAUCUAUAUGUGUCCUUUCCUCUAAGGUGAGUUUCUUGUAGGCAGCAGAUUGAAGGUUUUUUCUUUUUUAUCCAAUCUGCCACUCUAUGUCUUUUGAUUGGAGCAUUCAGUCCAUUGACAUUUAAGGUGAUUAUUGAUCGAUAUGUAUUUAUUGCCAUUUUAAACCUUGUUUUCCAGUUGAUUCUAUGUUUCUCUUUUCUUCUUUUCUUUUUUGGGUUGGAUGGUUUCCAUUUAUUCUAUGCUUGAUACUUUUCUUUUCAGUUUUUGUGAAUGUAAUGUUUGGUUUUGAUUUGUGGUUUCCUUGUAUUUUAAGCACAUUAGACCCUUCCUAUAUCUGCUUGCUUUUGCCUGAUAGUCAUAAAGACUCAGACACAUCAUUAAAAUAAAAAAAAAUCUAUAUUUUCUUACUUUCCUUCCCCACACUGUAUGAUAUCAAUGUCUUUUUUUGGUUUUGUUUUGUUUAACAUCUUCAUGUUUAGAUCUGUAUGCUGGCUUAUUUAAGUGAUUGCUUUCCAGUUGUGAUUUCCUCCAUCCUAAUUCUUCUUUUUCUCUCUCUCCUUUUUUUAAUUUAGAGAAGCUCUUUCAGUAUUUCUUUUAGAAUGAGUUUAGUAUUGCUGUACUCUUUUAGCUUUUGUUGGAGAAAUUCUUUAUUUCCCCUUCUAAUUUAAAUGAUAUUCUUGCUGGAUAGAGUAUUCUAGGUUGCAAAGCUUUUCCUUUCAGUGCUUUAAAUAUAUCUUGCCACUCCCUCUGGCCUGUAGUGUUUCUGUAGAGAAAUCAGCUGAUAGCCUUAUGGGGGUCCCCUUAUAAGUGACACUUUGCUUUUCUCUUGCUGCCUUUAGGAUCCUCUCUUUAUCAUUAACUUUUGCCAUUUUUAUUAUAAUAUGUCUUGGUGUGGGCCUGUUUCAGUUCAGCUUGUUUGGGGCCCUCUGUACUUCCUGUAUCUUGAUAUCAGUAUGCUUUAGAUUUUGGAAGUUUUCAGCCAUAAUUUUGUCAAAUAUAUUUUCAAUCCUCUUUCCUUCUUCUUUUCCUUCUGGAAUUCCUAUUAUGCAUAGAAUGGCCUGCUUUAUAUUAUCCCAUAGAUCUCUUAUAUUGCUUUCAUGUUUUUUCAUUUGGUUUUCUGUCUGCUGUCCUGAUUGGGUGAUUUCCAUUAUUUUAUCUUCCACAUCACUAAUUCGUUCCUCUGCAUUAUUCAUUCUGCUCUUUAUUGCCUUAAGCUCAGUUUGUAUCUCUGCAAAUGAAUUUUCUAGUUUUUCUUGUCUCCUCCUUAUAUUUUCUAGUUCCUUUAUAAAGAAAUCUGCAUUACUAUUAAUAUCCUCUCUUAAUUCCUUCCGUAUUUCUAAUACCUCCCUUUUGAACUCGAUGUCUGUUGGACUGCAGAGAUCUGUUUCAUUGUUGUCUGCUUUAGGUGAAUUCUCCUGUUCCUUUAACUGGGAAUGGUUUCUGUGCUUCUUCAUCUUGCUUGUGUUUUUCUUUUUCUGUGAGUUCAGGGAAGCCAAACUUUAGUCUUGUAAGGCUACCUCUAUGCAAAAUACCCAUUUGUAUUUUUUGGGGGGCUACUAUUUAUUUUUGUUGUGGGAGUUUGAAGAUUUGCUGUCUCUUUCUUCGGUGUGAGCAGGCCAUUGUUCCCAGGAUGCUUGGUGUGUUUUCAGGGAGCAGGAGGCAAUGGAUAGGGCCAGCAGUCAGUGCCUGGUCUUUGGGCUCUCAAUAGCAGCAAGGACCUGCAGGAAGGUGGCACAGGCUACUCCUAGUUGCAGGGCCCUGGGAAGUGGUAAUAAGCUCUAGGCAGACCUUCAAGGUGACCAGAGCAUUUGGGGGUAGCAACAGCAGGGUGCGUGAGUUCCCAGGGGAGUGAGAGCAACAACAGCUUGUGUUUGAUUGCAAUGCCCUCCUCUGAGGUGACUGGAAGUGCAGGUGGUGCCUGUUCAGGUUCCCCUGUUUGGGAGCAGACCAUGACCAUCUCUAGAGUCAGUGAUAACUGUGGUAUUUGCCCCCACCACCUGUAGACCAUGCAUGAAGUAACCCAUCCCACUUAGCCCACCUAUGAGGUUGUUCUAAAGGGUGCUCCUAGUUGCAGGAUGCUGAGAAGUGACCGAGAACAGGCAUGUGGGUACUGCCUGGAAUGUUUGGCAGUGGCAACAUAAGGGCGGGUGUGUUCCUAGGGGUUCAAGGACACCAACAGGUGGUGUUUGGUCACAGCGCCCUCCUGUGGUGCCUUUAGGUGAAUGGGGCUGCAAGUGAUUUUCAUUCUGGUAUCUCCAGUGGCAGUGGGCCACGCCCACCUCUGGAAUCAGGGAUAACUGCUGAGGUGUGCCCCUGCCAUCUGCAGACCACACAUGAAGCACCCUGUCCCACUUAGCCCAUUCAGGAGGUGCUGCACCAGUUGCUCCUAGUUGUAGGGUCUUGGGAAGGGACAGUGACCAAGUGUCUCUGGGUCACCCAGAGCGUUUGGCAGUGGCAGCUACAGGGUGGGUCUGUUCCCAGGGGAGUAAGAGCAACAGCGUAUGGUGCUUGGUUGCAAUGCCCUGUUUUUUUCUUUUUUGGCAAUCCCUGAGGUGACCGGGGUCGCUGGUGGAGCCCACUCACAGGCCUCCAGUGGUGGCAAGCCACACCUCCCUUUGGCCUCUGAGACAGCCACUGCACUCUGUCCCUGCCACCUGUGGAUCGUGCAAGAGGCAUCACGUUGCACUUAGCCCCCUUAUGCCCUUAGCCCACACAGUAAGUGCCUGGCCACCAGCAGCCUGCACAAGAAGUGCCUAAUCUCCCUUAAACAAGCAAGAGACUUCUUCCGCCCACCCGUAGUCUCUGCAGAGCCACCCACCCUCUAAGUAUGUGGGCAUGUGCACACUCCGGUGCAGGGAGUUUCCUAUGGCAGACCGCCCCUCCUUCUCUCCCCUCCCCAACAAUGGCGCCUUGCCUCUCCUGCGGGUCCAGAUCUUCUCCUGGGUUCCCUCUGCCAGUGGUGUUCCCUCCUUAGUCCGUGGUGCACUGCUCCUUAGCCCCUCAUGCCAUCCCCAGUUCUUUCCCUGGAACUGACCUUAGGAGCCUGAGUCUCAGUGCCCAGCCCCUGCCCAAGUGUCUCAGGCUGUGGUAUCCAGGCAGAUGGUUCAGAUGAUCUGUGUGGCUCUCACUCUGCUUUGCUGUUCUCAGUCCAGAUGCUGCGCUUUUCUCAGCAACUUUGAGGUCCUGCCGACUCAGCUGAUCUUUCUUCAGUUAGGUGGCUUCCAAGGAGGUAGGUUCUUUUUCUCCUUCACAGCUCCCUUUCGGGAAUGCUAGUCCCGUCCUGAUUCCUUUUCUCUCUCUUUUUUUCUUUUGUUCUACCCAGUUAUGUCAAGAGUUUCUUGCCCUUUUUGAAGGUUUAAGUUCUUGUGCCAGCAUUCAGUUGAUGAUCUGUGCGGGUAGUUUUACAUGUAGAUGUGUUUUUUUGAUGUGUUUGUGGGAAAAGAUGUGCACGACCUCUUACUCCUCUGCCAUCUUGCUCCCUCUCCACUCUGGGUUCUUUAAAUGUGGAAUCUGAAUCUUGAGAAAUUUUCUUAUUUUUAAAAAAAUGUAUUUAUUAAUGUUUAUGUACUUUUAUUUUUAUUAAUUAAAUUUAUCUUUUUAGGGUAUAGUUGAUUUACAGUAUUGAGUCAAUUUCUGCUGUACAACAUAGUGACCCAGAUACACACACACACACACACACACACACACACACACACACACACACACAUUAUACACAUUCUUUUUCCAUUAUGGUCUAUCCCAAGAGACUAGAUAUAGACAUUUUCUUGAAUUAAAAAAUAAUUCCAUUCCAGAGUUCCAUUGUGUCUCUGUGGAAAUGAAUCUGAAUAGCAUCCACAAGGACGCAGGUUCAAUCCCUGACCUUGCUCAGUGAGCUGAGGAUGUGGCGUUGCUGUGAGCUGUGGUGUAGGCUAGCAGCUACAACUCUGAUUUGACCCCUAGCCUGGGAACCUCCAUAUGCUGUGGGUGUGGCCCUUAAAAAAAAAA